AACGCUGGCGGCGCGCCUAACACAUGCAAGUCGAACGAGAAAGUGGAGCUAUCCAUGAGUACAGUGGCGUACGGGUGAGUAACACGUGGAUCAUCUACCUCUUUGUGGGGAAUAACCCUGGGAAACCGGGGAUAAUACCGCAUAAGCCUUAGAAGGGAAAGCAGCAAUGCGCUGAGAGAGGAGUCCGCGGCCGAUUAGCUAGUUGGCGGGGUAAAAGCCCACCAAGGCUUAGAUCGGUAGCCGGCCUGAUAGGGCACACGGCCACACUGGCACUGAAACACGGGCCAGACUCCUACGGGUGGCAGCAGUGGGGAAUCUUGCACAAUGGGGGAAACCCUGAUGCAGCGACUCCGCGUGAGCGAUGAAGCCCUUCGGGGUGUAAAGCUCUUUCGGCAGGGAUGAUUAUGACGGUACCUGCAGAAGCAGCUGCGGCUAACUACGUGCCAGCAUCCGCGGUAAUU
RNAcentral lists this ribosomal RNA (461 nucleotides) under uncultured Acidobacteriota bacterium. RNAcentral describes it as "bacterial SSU rRNA". It matches the Rfam family "Bacterial small subunit ribosomal RNA", at positions 32 to 525 of the family's 1533-position model. The record is from RNAcentral. Lineage: Bacteria; Pseudomonadati; Acidobacteriota.